Molecule: ribosomal RNA, 461 nt
Filed under: uncultured bacterium
Lineage: Bacteria
Description: partial 16S ribosomal RNA
Rfam family: Bacterial small subunit ribosomal RNA
Source: RNAcentral
CCUACGGGAGGCAGCAGUGAGGAAUAUUGGUCAAUGGGCGCAAGCCUGAACCAGCCAAGUCGCGUGAGGGAAGACGGCCCUAUGGGUUGUAAACCUCUUUUGCCGGGGAGCAACUGGCGUCACGUGUAGCGCCAUCGAGAGUACCUGAAGAAACAGCAUCGGCUAACUCCGUGCCAGCAGCCGCGGUAAUACGGAGGAUGCGAGCGUUAUCCGGAUUUACUGGGUGUAAAGGGAGCGUAGGCGGAGUGGCAAGUCUGUGGUGAAAGCCCGGGGCUCAACCUCGGACCCGCAUUGGAAACUGUGAGUCUGGAGUGCUGGAGAGGUAAGCGGAAUGCCUGGUGUAGCGGUGAAAUGCGUAGAUAUCAGGAGGAACACCAGUGGCGAAGGCGGCUUGCUGGAUAGCGACUGACGCUGAGGCUCGAAAGCGUGGGGAGCGAACAGGAUUAGAUACCCUAGUAGUC